CGAUGGUAAAUUGAAACAGAUUGUUU
Molecule: small RNA, 26 nt
Filed under: Bombyx mori (domestic silkworm)
Lineage: Eukaryota; Metazoa; Arthropoda; Insecta; Lepidoptera; Bombycidae
Description: ovarian small RNA-14279
Source: RNAcentral